AGUGAACGCUGGCGGUAGGCCUAACACAUGCCAGUCGAACGGCAGCACAGUAAGAGCUUGCUCUUACGGGUGGCGAGUGGCGGACGGGUGAGGAAUACAUCAGAAUCUACUUUUUCGUGGGGGAUAACGUAGGGAAACUUACGCUAAUACCGCAUACGACCUACGGGUGAAAGCAGUGGAUCUUCGGACCUUGCGCGAUUCAAUGAGCCGAUGUCGGAUUAGCUAGUGGGCGGGGUAAAGGCCCACCAAGGCGACGAUCCGUAGCUGGUCUGAGGGGAUGAUCAGCCACACUGGACCUGAGACACGGUCCAGACCCCUACGGGAGGCAGCGGAGGGGAAUUUUGGACAAUGGGCGCAAGCCUGAUCCAGCCAUACCGGGUGGGUGAAGAAGGCCUUCGGGUUGUAAACCCCUUUUGUUGGGAAAGAAAAGCAGCAGGUUAACACCCCGCUGUUCUGACGGUACCCAAAGAAUAAGCACCGGCUAACUUCGU
RNAcentral lists this ribosomal RNA (491 nucleotides) under uncultured bacterium. RNAcentral describes it as "partial 16S ribosomal RNA". It matches the Rfam family "Bacterial small subunit ribosomal RNA", at positions 29 to 506 of the family's 1533-position model. The record is from RNAcentral.